Molecule: non-coding RNA, 218 nt
Filed under: human gut metagenome
Source: RNAcentral
GCCGGUUUGCAGUGAUGCGAUUAAAAGGGAAUCGUGUGAGAGUCACGAACAGUCCCGCUGCUGUAAAUCUCGAGAAACCAUGCCGAAGGAGGCUGACGGUCAUGCCGUCGGCCUGCGGAUUAUCCACUGACCGAGCAAGAGUGCAGACGUCGGGAAGGAGGUCAGGUUGAAAGUGUCAUAACACACUCUACGAGAUAAGUCAGAAGACCUGCCGGUGU